GGAGUGAUUAGCAUUUUUACACCUUUUGCAUUUAAAUCUACAAUCUUGCGUAUUGUGAUUUGAUUUCCCAAAAAUACGACAUUGGGAGGAAGACGUACCUUUUGAGAAAUUAUUUUUAACAAACCUUCCUUUGGGGCCUUGAUUUUUAUUUCCAAACUUCCUUUGUUGAAAGUUGCGAUUUUACUGGAAUUUAUUCUUUUGAUCUCCCUUCUCCGAUUCUCCAGCCUUUUCAUUUGAAAGAGUAACCUUUGAUUGAAAUGCCUGCUCC
RNAcentral lists this long non-coding RNA (268 nucleotides) under Nicotiana benthamiana. RNAcentral's name for it is "long non-coding RNA (NBEN_LNC003123)". The record is from RNAcentral. Lineage: Eukaryota; Viridiplantae; Streptophyta; Magnoliopsida; Solanales; Solanaceae.